CCCUUAGAUGUUCUGGGCCGCACGCGCGCUACACUGAUGCAUUCAACGAGCCUAGCCUUGACCGAGAGGUCCGGGUAGUCUUUGAAACUGCAUCGUGAUGGGGCUAGAUUAUUGCAAUUAUUAAUCUUCAACGAGGAAUGCCUAGUAAGCGUGAUUCAUCAAAUCGCGUUGAUUACGUCCCUGCCCUUUGUACACACCGCCCGUCGCUCCUACCGAUUGAGUGUGUUGGUGAGGAGUUUGGAUUGGCCUCGGAAGGUGGUUCGCCACCGUCCGUAGCUGAGAAGUUCUCCAAACCGCCCCACUUAGAGGAAGGAGAAGUCGUAACA
Molecule: ribosomal RNA, 326 nt
Filed under: uncultured eukaryote
Lineage: Eukaryota
Description: partial 18S ribosomal RNA
Rfam family: Eukaryotic small subunit ribosomal RNA
Source: RNAcentral